Oncorhynchus masou masou (cherry salmon) is the source of this 430-nucleotide long non-coding RNA. RefSeq lists it as uncharacterized. The record is from RefSeq and is a predicted model, not a curated record. Lineage: Eukaryota; Metazoa; Chordata; Actinopteri; Salmoniformes; Salmonidae. The transcript is spliced from 3 exons.
ACUAACCUCACGUUUCCCUUCUGAUUUCGCGUCCCAUCUCUCUCCCGCACAGGAUUAAUAGGCCAGUUCUCCUCCUGACCCAGUGAGACAAGACAACACUGAGCUUUAAGAAAGAGUUGGUCAAGAUUUGGACAUAAUGGGAUACGCAUACUGCUGUACCGUGCUCGUUAUAGGACACCUUGCGCGACACCAAUCUACUGGAUUUUGGCUCUUCCCACCAAGUGUCAAACUUCCAAACAAAGUGGCAAACAAUAGCUCUCAGCCGGUUCUUAUAGAAUUGAACAACAGGACAACUGUUAAGACCUCCAAUUCUGCAGGGGUGAAAGUGAGAGUGCCUGGUUUUGGACAAACAUAUAGUGUUGAGUUCUUAGACACCAACAAGCUGGCAGGUUAUUUUCAUACUAUGGUUACUCAUUUGGUCAACAUUGGA